GUGAUCACGAUGUCGGAUUUAUUGGGCGUAAGCGAGCGCAGGCGGUUUUUUAAGUCUGAUGUGAAAGCCUUCGGCUCAACCGAAGAAGUGCAUCGGAAACUGGGAAACUUGAGUGCAGAAGAGGACAGUGGAACUCCAUGUGUAGCGGUGAAAUGCGUAGAUAUAUGGAAGAACACCAGUGGCGAAGGCGGCUGUCUGGUCUGUAACUGACGCUGAGGCUCGAAAGUAUGGGUAGCAAACAGGAUUAGAUACCCUGGUAGUCCAUACCGUAAACGAUGAAUGCUAAGUGUUGGAGGGUUUCCGCCCUUCAGUGCUGCAGCUAACGCAUUAAGCAUUCCGCCUGGGGAGUACGGCCGCAAGGCUGAAACUCAAAGGAAUUGACGGGGGCCCGCACAAGCGGUGGAGCAUGUGGUUUAAUUCGAAGCUACGCGAAGAACCUUACCAGGUCUUGACAUACUAUGCAAAUCUAAGAGAUUAGACGUUCCCUUCGGGGACAUGGAUACAGGUGGUGCAUGGUUGUCGUCAGCUCGUGUCGUGAGAUGUUGGGUUAAGUCCCGCAACGAGCGCAACCCUUAUUAUCAGUUGCCAGCAUUAAGUUGGGCACUCUGGUGAGACUGCCGGUGACAAACCGGAGGAAGGUGGGGAUGACGUCAAAUCAUCAUGCCCCUUAUGACCUGGGCUACACACGUGCUACAAUGGAUGGUACAACGAGUUGCGAACUCGCGAGAGUAAGCUAAUCUCUUAAAGCCAUUCUCAGUUCGGAUUGUAGGCUGCAACUCGCCUACAUGAAGUCGGAAUCGCUAGUAAUCGCGGAUCAGCAUGCCGCGGUGAAUACGUUCCCGGGCCUUGUACACACCGCCCGUCACACCAUGAGAGUUUGUAACACCCAAAGUCGGUGGGGUAACCUUUUAGGAACCAGCCGCCUAAGGUGGGACAGAAGAUUAGGGGUGAAAUCUUAACAGGGGAACCCGUAAAGGGG
This 979-nucleotide ribosomal RNA is filed under the name Lactiplantibacillus plantarum. RNAcentral describes it as "bacterial SSU rRNA". It matches the Rfam family "Bacterial small subunit ribosomal RNA", at positions 532 to 1510 of the family's 1533-position model. The record is from RNAcentral. Lineage: Bacteria; Bacillati; Bacillota; Bacilli; Lactobacillales; Lactobacillaceae.